GAUCCUGGCUCAGGAUGAACGCUAGCUACAGGCUUAACACAUGCAAGUCGAGGGGGCGAGCAUGAACUUAGCUUGCUAAGUUUGUAUGGCGACCGGCGCACGGGUGAGUAACACGUAUCCAACCUGCCGAUGACUCGGGGAGUAGCCUUUCGAAAGAAAGAUUAAUACCCGAUGGCAUAGUUCUUCCGCAUGGUAGAACUAUUAAAGAAUUUCGGUCAUCGAUGGGGAUGCGUUCCAUUAGG
RNAcentral lists this ribosomal RNA (242 nucleotides) under uncultured bacterium. RNAcentral describes it as "partial 16S ribosomal RNA". It matches the Rfam family "Bacterial small subunit ribosomal RNA", at positions 15 to 245 of the family's 1533-position model. The record is from RNAcentral.